UACGUAGGGUGCGAGCGUUGUCCGGAAUUAUUGGGCGUAAAGAGCUCGUAGGCGGUUUGUUGCGUCGGCCGUGAAAACUUGGGGCUUAACCCCGAGCCUGCGGUCGAUACGGGCAGACUUGAAUUCGGCAGGGGAGACUGGAAUUCCUGGUGUAGCGGUGAAAUGCGUAGAUAUCAAGUGGAACACCAGUGGCGAAGGCGAGUCUCUGGACAUUUCCUGACGCUGAGGCACGAAAGCCAGGGGAGCAAACGGG
This 253-nucleotide ribosomal RNA is filed under the name uncultured bacterium. RNAcentral's name for it is "partial 16S ribosomal RNA". It matches the Rfam family "Bacterial small subunit ribosomal RNA", at positions 524 to 776 of the family's 1533-position model. The record is from RNAcentral.